This 390-nucleotide ribosomal RNA is filed under the name Miersiella haswelli. RNAcentral's name for it is "partial 12S ribosomal RNA". The record is from RNAcentral. Lineage: Eukaryota; Metazoa; Arthropoda; Malacostraca; Decapoda; Xanthidae.
UUAGAUACCCUAUUAUACUAAUAAUGUUUCAGAUUAAUAAUAGUUAUGUUCUUCAAAUUUAAAGAAUUUGGCGGUGGUUUAGUCUUGUUAGAGGAACCUGUUUUUGAAUCGAUACACCACGCGUAAUCUUACUCAUUUUAUUAUAUAAAUUAGUUUAUAUACCGUCAUUAUCAGAUAAUUUUUAAAAAAUAAUUAUUAAACUUUAGGGUAUAAAAGUUAAGCAAAAUUAGAUCAAGGUGUAGCUGAUAAGUGAGUUAAAAUGGGUUACAAUAAAUUCUUAUUUAAUAACGGAGUAGUAAAGGAAUCUGAACUAAUAAAGGUGGAUUUAAUUGUAAUGUGAAUUUAAUAAGUUUUAAAGAUAUAAGCUCUAAAUCAUGUACAUAUCGCCCG